This 206-nucleotide ribosomal RNA is filed under the name uncultured bacterium. RNAcentral's name for it is "partial 16S ribosomal RNA". It matches the Rfam family "Bacterial small subunit ribosomal RNA", at positions 568 to 774 of the family's 1533-position model. The record is from RNAcentral.
AGCGCAGGUGGGAAAGUAAGUCAGUCUUAAAAGUUCGGGGCUCAACCCCGUGAUGGGAUUGAAACUACUUUUCUUGAGUGCAGGAGAGGAAAGCGGAAUUCCUAGUGUAGCGGUGAAAUGCGUAGAUAUUAGGAGGAACACCAGCGGCGAAGGCGGCUUUCUGGACUGUAACUGACGCUGAGGCUCGAAAGCGUGGGGAGCGAACA